UACGGAGGGUGCAAGCGUUAUCCGGAUUCACUGGGUUUAAAGGGUGUGUAGGCGGAUAUUUAAGUCAGUGGUGAAAUCUCAAGGCUCAACCUUGAAACUGCCAUUGAUACUAUCAGUCUUGAAUACCGUGGAGGUAAGCGGAAUAUGUCAUGUAGCGGUGAAAUGCUUAGAUAUGACAUAGAACACCAAUUGCGAAGGCAGCUUACUACCCGAAUAUUGACACUGAGGCACGAAAGCGUGGGGAUCAAACAGG
RNAcentral lists this ribosomal RNA (253 nucleotides) under uncultured bacterium. Its description in RNAcentral is "partial 16S ribosomal RNA". It matches the Rfam family "Bacterial small subunit ribosomal RNA", at positions 524 to 776 of the family's 1533-position model. The record is from RNAcentral.